AAAAGUUAACUUGGAUGUGCCUCUAGAAGUUAGUAUGUUAAGCUGAACCAACUUGAUUGGAUUCGCUGUCCGUACAUAGGGCUUGUUUUCCAAAGAAAAAUAUUGUUUAGAGUAGCAAACUUAUAAGCCUGCUCAGGCAUGUUGUAAAGCCGCUGGAAAAGUAACUUGGAGCAAGUUUUGUGAAUGGAAAUGUAGUGCUCAAGUCACAUUCUGCUUUAAAAAGUUGUAACAAAUACAGAUGAAUU
This is a long non-coding RNA of Cervus elaphus (red deer), 245 nucleotides long. RefSeq lists it as uncharacterized. NCBI's taxonomy places the organism in Eukaryota, Metazoa, Chordata, Mammalia, Artiodactyla, Cervidae. The transcript is spliced from 3 exons. The record is from RefSeq and is a predicted model, not a curated record.